Oncorhynchus mykiss (rainbow trout) is the source of this 6094-nucleotide long non-coding RNA. The record is from Ensembl. NCBI's taxonomy places the organism in Eukaryota, Metazoa, Chordata, Actinopteri, Salmoniformes, Salmonidae.
AUUCAGGUAUGAACAAUAACAUACAUUUCCGUCUGUAAAUACAAAUAUUAAUUGAAGGUGUAAUUCCUACUGGAAAGGAAAUAAAAAACAACAUAGAAGAUACGGCUUUAGGGGUUUGUUGUUAGUUACCAAACAAUGUAACCAUGCGAAAUGAAGUUUUCCAGCUGACAAUGGUUUUAUUUUGGCCAAUGAAAAUGCUUUAUGUCCCAAUUAUCUCUCUCUCUUCCACCCAAAAUGUGCACUUGUUCACCUCCCUUUACUGAUUUGAAAGGAAAUGACUGGUAUAUUAAAUAUGGCUAAAACUCUACCUAGCCCCUACUAGCCGAAUGUUUUUAGAUUUGUGGGAAGUGGUGAAUGAGUGCACACUUCAGCAGAAAUGAGAUGUUAUUGGGAUGCAUGAAGAAUAUGAAGAAUGCAAUGAAGAAUAUCCCUUAAUUGUAAUGCUGAAAUCAGUUUAGUUAACCCUGUGUUGGUGUUUCUGUCAGGGUGGAUGUCAACGGUGACCCAACUCAACGCCCUUGGUGGUCCAGAGUCAGAGAGUCGGAAAAUUGUUCAGAGCUUUGCAGAGGUACUUGGUGACAAGUACCACUACGAGAAUGCCAUCGACAGCUCUCUGCUCUGGACUGUUGGGUACACCCCCUACAUUCCCCCAGCUCUGAAAGGAAGAAGCUUCCCUUCUGUCGAGAGCUUCUUCCUGGAUGAGUGGGAGCCACUGACACUCCUGCAGACUUCUCAGGUUCUGUACACCAGUGUUUCAAUCGAGGAAGAGAACCGGAUCCAGUCUGCUGCAGGCCUAGUGUCUCAGCUUCAGUCUACCAGUGUUACCAUCGUGGAGAAUGACCUGAUCCAGUCUGCUGCAGGCCUAGUGUCUCAGGUUCUGUCCACCAGUGUUACCAUCAUGGAGAAUGACCUGAUCCAGUCUGCUGCAGUCCUAGUGUCUCAGGUUCUGUCUACCAGUGUUACCAUCGAGGAAGACAACCUGAUCCAGUCUGCUGCAGUCCUAGUGUCUCAGGUUCUGUCCACCAGUGUUGCCAUCGUGGAGAAUGACCUGAUCCAGUCUGCUGCAGGCCUAGUGUCUCAGGUUCUGUCCACCAGUGUUUCCAUCGUGGAGAAUGACCUGAUCCAGUCUGCUGCAGGCCUAGUGUCUCAGAUUCUGUCCACCAGUGUUUCCAUCGUGGAGAAUGACCUGAUCCAGUCUGCUGCAGGCCUAGUGUCUCAGGUUCUGUCCACCAGUGUUUCCAUCGUGGAGAAUGACCUGAUCCAGUCUGCUGUAGGCCUAGUGUCUCAGAUUCUGUCCACCAGUGUUUCCAUCGUGGAGAAUGACCUGAUCCAGUCUGCUGCAGGCCUAGUGUCUCAGGUUCUGUCUACCAGUGUUUCCAUCGUGGAGAAUGACCUGAUCCAGUCUGCUGCAGUCCUAGUGUCUCAAGUUCUGUCCACCAGUGUUUCCAUCGUGGAGAAUGACCUGAUCCAGUCUGCUGCAGGCCUAGUGUCUCAGGUUCUGUCCACCAGUGUUUCCAUCGUGGAGAAUGACCUGAUCCAGUCUGCUGCAGUCCUAGUGUCUCAGGUUCUGUCUACCAGUGUUUCCAUCGUGGAGAAUGACCUGAUCCAGUCUGCUGCAGUCCUAGUGUCUCAAGUUCUGUCCACCAGUGUUUCCAUCGUGGAGAAUGACCUGAUCCAGUCUGCUGCAGGCCUAGUGUCUCAGGUUCUGUCCACCAGUGUUUCCAUCGUGGAGAAUGACCUGAUCCAGUCUGCUGCAGGCCUAGUGUCUCAGGUUCUGUCCACCAGUGUUUCCAUCGUGGAGAAUGACCUGAUCCAGUCUGCUGCAGGCCUAGUGUCUCAGGUUCUGUCCACCAGUGUUUCCAUCGUGGAGAAUGACCUGAUCCAGUCUGCUGCAGUCCUAGUGUCUCAGGUUCUGUCUACCAGUGUUACCAUCGAGGAAGACAACCUGAUCCAGUCUGCUGCAGUCCUAGUGUCUCAGGUUCUGUCCACCAGUGUUUCCAUCGUGGAGAAUGACCUGAUCCAGUCUGCUGCAGGCCUAGUGUCUCAGGUUCUGUCCACCAGUGUUACCAUCGUGGAGAAUGACCUGAUCCAGUCUGCUGCAGGCCUAGUGUCUCAGGUUCUGUCCACCAGUGUUUCCAUCGAGGAAGACAACCUGAUCCAGUCUGCUGCAGGCCUAGUGUCUCAAGUUCUGUCCAGCAGUGACGCUAGAGUGAAGGAUCGUGAUGAUUCCACACUGAGAGACUCCAACCAACCUGAGGUCCAUGUGGCUGAUGUCUCAACCAAGAGAAGUAGACUAGUCAUCACUAUUUCUAUGUUUUCAACCGAGAGUUGCAAUGCUUCGGUCCAUGAGGUUGAUGCUAUUGCUACCAGCCUGGAGCACUCUGCUGAGAAAAUGUCUACCUCUACCGCUGAUGGCCACAUUGUUUCAUCCACUGCUGUAGCCAAUCAGAAGGAAACAAGGGGCGGAUUCGUCUCAUCUCUACGGAGACUGUUCACAAGAAAGAACAGGAUGCCUGCUAAAGUGGCUUCCAAGAAGGAGCACAUUCACUUGGUUGACCGCCUCAAUGCUGAAGUCACCCACUGAGGGCACUCACUCACUGCUGAAGGCAUCCAGAAUGAUGCUUCUGUUUCUCCUCAACGCCACCUACACCCCUGCCCCUCUCCCCCACACCAAACCCUACCAGGGUUGGGGUGAAUUCCAGAUAUAUUCAGUCAAUUCAGCAAGUCAACUAAAAUUCCAAUUCCAAUUGUUUCUCAUAGGAGGCAAUGAGGUAAAUUUGAAUUGCUAUUGGAAUUUCAGUUUACUUACUGAAUUGACUGAAUUGAAAAUGAAUUGACCCCAACCCUGAUCCCUAAGCCCCCACCCCAUCCAUUUCUAUCUUCAGUAAACUUUGUAGAAUUUUAUUUGAAUGUGUUUUGGAUCUUCAUUAAAACCCACAAUACAUCUCUAAUGAGGGUCACUCAUGUUACACAUCUAGAUUUAUCAUCAAAUAUCGUAGAAUUCAACAACAAAUGCAGUGGUUUAGCAGUUCAACUUCAGUACUUGUCAAUGAGUAACUGCACUGUGACCUUCAGAAACAUGUAACAUUGUGGAAAAACUGAAAACUUUUGCUGACAUUUGGUUACAAUGUAACUACACUGAACAAAAAUAUUAGCGCAACAUGUAAAGUAUUGGUCCCAUGUUUCAUGAGCUGAAAUAAAAUCCCAGAAGUGUUCCAUAUGUACAAAAAGGUUAUUUCUCUCAAAUGUUGUGUUUACAUCCCUGUUAGUGAGCAUUUCUCCUUGGCCAAGAUAAUCCAUCCACCUGCCAGGUGUGGCAUAUCAAGAAGCUGAUUAAACUGCAUGAUCAUUACACAGGUGCAUCUUGUACUGGGGAAAAGAAGAGGCCACUUUAAAAUGAGCAGUUUUGUCACACAACACAAUGCCACAGAUGUCAGAAGUUUUGAGGGAGCGUGCAAUUGGCAUGCUGACUGCGGAAAUGUUCACCAGAGCCAUUACUAGAGAAGUCAAUGUUAAUUUCUUUACCAUAAACUUUCCAAUGUCGUUUUAGCGAAUUUGGCAGACCACACCAGGGUCUGAGGAGUAUUUCUGUCUGUAAUAAAGCCCGUUUGUAGGGAAAAACUCAUUCUGAUUAGCUGGGCCUAGCUCCCCAGUGGGUGGGUCUGGCUGCCAGGUGGGUGGGCCUAUGCCAUCCAAGGCCCUCCCAUGGCAGCACCCCUGCCCAGGACCUAAUUAAUUUAUUUCAAUUGUUUGAUUUCCUUAUGUGAACUGCACCUCAGUCAAGUCUUUCAAAUUGUUGCAUGUUGCGUUUAUAUUUUUGUCUGCACAUUUUCUUGAGAAUGACAUGCGUUCUCACUCAUUACUUCUAGAAUCAGAAAUGAAAACCGACUCAACGUAAUAUAUUAAAGGAAUGAAAAGGGCUUUAUUCAACGGUGGCUCCUGAAGUCCCUGCACACAUUUACAUUUACAAGGUUCCAUCUUCACUGAGGACAGUCUCAGUAUCGGAUUUUAGCAGAGACAAUGAAGCAGAGACAAUGAAAAGCAAACAAAUUAACAAACUGAACAAACCAAACAAAAACUCAGUCCCCACAUGAUAUGUGACAUGACACAUGACCCGAAGAACCAUAUUGGUGCGUUUUUCCUAAUCAGAUGAUUACUGAUUGUGUUUGUUAUUAUAAGUUCACUGUAAUGUCCAACGUUCUGAACUAACAUGGUAAUGUAAUGUACAUGUUGUCUACUAGUCUGUAUGUGAUAUCAACACUCUGGACAGAGAGCUAUGGUUUUUCGGUUGAAGGAUUUAUGUGUAUAACUAGAUCUACUGUAUGGGACAACAAAAAGUACAUAUGAAUAGGGAGUUGAAGCAUUUGUAGAUUGACACGGCCUAUUAACAACAAAUUAAAACACAAAUAUCAACACAGACUUAUAUAAAUACUAAUAAAAACAUAAUACUGAAAACUUUUGUCAAACAACAAAGGAAGAUUGUCGAUGUGCUUUUUUGAAAACAACAACUUAUUCCCUAAAAGUACAUUCUAUUUAUAUCUUCAUUUGGACUAAAUAUAAAAAAUCUGUACAUUAGAGAAACAAGUGUAGUAUGUGAAUGUGUCUUUGUAUGUUUUCAGUUCAUCUUAUCAUUAUAUACAGUCUAUAAUCUCAGCCCAGAAACAGAGAUCUUAUAAUACUGUAUAACACAGAGUUAUAAUGACUUGUGAAAAGUGCCUAAAACCAAAACAUCACUACUUCAAAAGCACCUAUAAGAAGAAGAACAGUUAUUGCAUCAACACAAUAGGAAAUAAUUAUGUUUGCAUCUCUUUUAAACAAUGUUGGUACUACAUUGGUAAUGAUUAGUUCUACGUUGGUAAUGGUUGGUACUAUGUUGGUACUGACAUCCACAACUCCCUGUUUCUAUUGCAGAACUCAAUACAGGACCGUAUACAUGCAACUACAAACUGCUUGUCAUCAGCAAUCAGCACGGAGUGAUUUCCACAGUAUUACUCUCACAGUCUUCUUGUCCUCCAUUUUGGCUCUGUACAUUGUCCAUGCGUCCCAGUGCCGUGCCGUUAGUGGACUCCUGACUCAGGGCCGGGAAACGGACGUUACGCUCCAGUUCUGGGUUCAGACAGAGGAAAGUCUGGUUCUUAUCGUUAUUAUUGCUGUUGUUACUAGUAGUGGUGGUGACUACCGACUCGCUAAAGAUAGUGUCUGAGAAGACAGAGUCUAGGUUGAACAAGGUGCCACCGAAGAGGGAUUCCUGGCAGGUGGAUUUGGGCCGAUCGGUGGCUACCUCUGGGUCUCCUGGGGUUUGCUUGGUGGUGGUGGUUGAUUUUCAGUGUCUGGUUCUUCUGUAUUGUUCUGCUUGUUCUGCUGGCUUAUUGCGGUGAUCUCCUUUGAGACAUGACUGAGUCAUGGUAUUGAAAUUGAAACCUGAAACCUGAAAUGUUGUGCUGGCUACAUCAUGUAGAUGCUCUGUUACAUCAUCAGCAGUGAGUGGACAACUCGGGAAAAAUGACUGGCUCCAUACUGCAGCCUCUCUAAUGUUCAUAUAUAUCACAGUACAAUGUUACCUGAACAAAAACUCUACUACACAUGUGUGUGGAGCCUCAGUCAUGUACCAUUGAAUUGGCAGAAAGUAUUGAGCCUUCGUCAAAAAUAAUAGUAUUUUCUGAUUGUUCUUGGUGAAUGUCAGUUUUGUUUGAUAAAUAACAGACAAUAGGACUCAAGCGUAUAUCAAAUUGUCCUUCUGUUUGUCUAACCAUCAUAUAAUGCCUAUAGCCAGAACCGUGUAUUGUAAUAGAAGACUGCCUGUACAGUUCUUUAAAUUCUCUAUUCGUAGCAUCCUUUUCUGAGAGCUCUAUUUCACUCAAUAGUCGAAUAUGGUGAAUUUUUUUUUAUUGUUUUCUGAAUGCUUUGUACACAUGUGCAAGUGUGUGUACAAGGCACUGAACUGGAGAGAUAGGGCAAAAUGACUAUAGGCGCGGGUACGCCUACACUGCCCAGGUGAGGAAAAGUGCAGGGCUGAGGACACUCAUUUCUGUGACAGUGCGCACGUCCUGCGCUUUUACGCACGGUCUCUUUGCAGUAAUGCAUAAACGUUGUU